UUAAGUUCAGCGGGUAUCCCUACCUGAUCCGAGGUCAACCAUAGAAAAUUGGGGGUUACUGGCCAGCAUCCGCCGGGACCCUAUAGCGAGAGAGAUUACUGCGCUCAGGGCCCGACGGCACCGCCACUGAUUUUAAGACCCGCCGGGUUAGCGGCGAAGCCCAAGACAAGCUGUGCUUGAGGGUUGAAAUGACGCUCGAA
RNAcentral lists this unclassified non-coding RNA (200 nucleotides) under Helotiales sp. RNAcentral describes it as "partial internal transcribed spacer 2". Lineage: Eukaryota; Fungi; Ascomycota; Leotiomycetes; Helotiales. The record is from RNAcentral.